GACGAACGCUGGCGGCGUGCUUAACACAUGCAAGUCGAACGGAAAGGCCCUGCUUUUGUGGGGUGCUCGAGUGGCGAACGGGUGAGUAACACGUGAGUAACCUGCCCUUGACUUUGGGAUAACUUCAGGAAACUGGGGCUAAUACCGGAUAGGAGCUCCUGCUGCAUGGUGGGGGUUGGAAAGUUUCGGCGGUUGGGGAUGGACUCGCGGCUUAUCAGCUUGUUGGUGGGGUAGUGGCUUACCAAGGCUUUGACGGGUAGCCGGCCUGAGAGGGUGACCGGCCACAUUGGGACUGAGAUACGGCCCAGACUCCUACGGGAGGCAGCAGUGGGGAAUAUUGCACAAGGGGCGGAAGCCUGAUGCAGCAACGCCGCGUUGGGAUGACGGCCUUCGGGUUGUAAACCGCUUUCGCCUGUGACGAAGCGUGAGUGACGGUAAUGGGUAAAGAAGCACCGGCUAACUACGUG
This 467-nucleotide ribosomal RNA is filed under the name uncultured bacterium. RNAcentral's name for it is "partial 16S ribosomal RNA". It matches the Rfam family "Bacterial small subunit ribosomal RNA", at positions 28 to 507 of the family's 1533-position model. The record is from RNAcentral.